This 554-nucleotide long non-coding RNA is filed under the name Eucalyptus grandis. RNAcentral's name for it is "long non-coding RNA (EGRA_LNC001918)". The record is from RNAcentral. Lineage: Eukaryota; Viridiplantae; Streptophyta; Magnoliopsida; Myrtales; Myrtaceae.
AACUAGGGGUGAGCGGUUCCAGGUUCCGGUUCGGUUCCGUCUGGAACCUGGAACCUACCCUCGGGUACAGGUUCCAAAUUUUUUGGAACCUGGAACCUACCCGUCAGAACCAAGAACCUGGAACCUACCCGGUCACAGGUUCCAGGGUCGGUUCCAGGUUCCAACAGGUUCUUUUUUUCUUUUUUCUUCAUUUUUAAAUUUGAAUUAUAACGCGCAUAUUAUCGGAUAUGCUGGCUGUCACCGAUCUUUCUUCUCAAACCAUAUGUUUUUAUCAAAACAUGGAAAUCCUUUUUGUAAGUCCAUGAAGAAGUUCUCUGCUAUGCUUAACCUGUUAACAGCAGGUUCAUAUUAGGAGUAAAUCUACCAAAAAUCAUGCUGGUGCAUAUUUCUGUUUUCAAGCACUUAAAUAUCCCUAUGAACACAAAAAAACCUAAUCCAAUCCUUAGAACAAAAGAAAACAACAAACUCAGAAAAACGUAGAUUGGAGCGGUAGAAUGAUGUAAGCACAAUCUUUGUCUCCUUUGACAUGCAAAGGCGCUGAAUAACAUCUUCUC